UUCGCAAUGCCCGAAAGGGUGACGAAGCGACGCCGCGUGUGGGAAGAAGGCCUUCGGGUUGUAAACCACUGUCGGGAGUCAAGAAAUACAAGGAUAUGAAUAGUGUCUUUGUUUGACUAAGGCUCCGGAGGAAGCCACGGCUAACUCUGUGCCAGCAGCCGCGGUAAUACAGAGGCGGCAAGCGUUGUUCGGAAUUAUUGGGCGUAAAGAGCACGUAGGCGGCUAUGUAAGUCGGUUGUGAAAGCCUUCCGCUCAACGGAAGAACAGCAUCCGAUACUACAUGGCUUGAGUGCGGGAGGGGAGAGUGGAACUUCUGGUGGAGCGGUGAAAUGCGUAGAUAUCAGAAGGAACGCCGGCGGCGAAAGCGGCUCUCUGGCCCAUAACUGACGCUGAGUGUGCGAAAGCUAGGGGAGCAAACGGGAUUAGAUACCCCGGUAGUCCUAGCCGUAAACGAUGGGCACUAAGUAGAGGGGUUUU
Molecule: ribosomal RNA, 477 nt
Filed under: uncultured bacterium
Lineage: Bacteria
Description: bacterial SSU rRNA
Rfam family: Bacterial small subunit ribosomal RNA
Source: RNAcentral